AAUUGGAGGGCAAGUCUGGUGCCAGCAGCCGCGGUAAUUCCAGCUCCAAUAGCGUAUAUUAAAGUUGUUGCAGUUAAAAAGCUCGUAGUUGAACUUCGGGGUUUACCCAUUGGUCAGGCUUAAUUGUCUGUACUGGUGAGAUAAAUCUCUACCUUCUGAGGAACUUUCAUGCCAUUUAUUUGGUGUGAUUGGAAAUCAGGACUAUUACUUUGAAAAAAUUAGAGUGUUUAAAGCAGGCUAAAGUCUGAAUACAUUAGCAUGGAAUAAUGAAAUAGGACGGAUUGAUUCUAUUUCGUUGGUUUCUAGGAUCACCGUAAUGAUUAAUAGGGAUAGUUGGGGGCAUUAGUAUUCAAUUGUCAGAGGUGAAAUUCUUGGAUUUAUUGAAGACUAACUACUGCGAAAGCAUUUGCCAAGGAUGUUUUCAUUAAUCAAGAACGAAAGUUAGGGGAUCGAAGACGAUCAGAUACCGUCGUAGUCUUAACCAUAAACUGUGCCGACUAGGGAUCGGACGAAGUUAAUUUUUUAAUGACUCGUUUGGCACCUUACGGGAAACCAAAGUGU
RNAcentral lists this ribosomal RNA (561 nucleotides) under uncultured Glomus. RNAcentral's name for it is "SSU rRNA". It matches the Rfam family "Eukaryotic small subunit ribosomal RNA", at positions 546 to 1106 of the family's 1831-position model. The record is from RNAcentral. Lineage: Eukaryota; Fungi; Glomeromycota; Glomeromycetes; Glomerales; Glomeraceae.